This 566-nucleotide ribosomal RNA is filed under the name uncultured bacterium. RNAcentral describes it as "bacterial SSU rRNA". It matches the Rfam family "Bacterial small subunit ribosomal RNA", at positions 336 to 916 of the family's 1533-position model. The record is from RNAcentral.
CUCCUACGGGAGGCAGCAGUGGGGAAUAUUGCACAAUGGGCGCAAGCCUGAUGCAGCAACGCCGCGUGCGGGAUGAAGGCCCUAGGGUUGUAAACCGCUUUCAGCAGGGAAGAAAAUGACGGUACCUGCAGAAGAAGGUGCGGCCAACUACGUGCCAGCAGCCGCGGUGACACGUAGGCACCAAGCGUUGUCCGGAUUUAUUGGGCGUAAAGAGCUCGUAGGCGGUUCAGUUAGUCGGGUGUGAAAACUCUGGGCUCAACCCAGAGACGCCACCCGAUACUGCUGUGACUAGAGUACGGUAGGGGAGUGGGGAAUUCCUGGUGUAGCGGUGAAAUGCGCAGAUAUCAGGAGGAACACCAGUGGCGAAGGCGCCACUCUGGGCCGUAACUGACGCUGAGGAGCGAAAGCAUGGGUAGCAAACAGGAUUAGAUACCCUGGUAGUCCAUGCCGUAAACGUUGGGCACUAGGUGUGGGUCUCAACCAACGAGAUCCGCGCCGUCGCUAACGCAUUAAGUGCCCCGCCUGGGGAGUACGGUCGCAAGACUAAAACUCAAAGGAAUUGACGG